This 525-nucleotide ribosomal RNA is filed under the name uncultured bacterium. Its description in RNAcentral is "bacterial SSU rRNA". It matches the Rfam family "Bacterial small subunit ribosomal RNA", at positions 791 to 1319 of the family's 1533-position model. The record is from RNAcentral.
UAGUCCACACCGUAAACGAUGAAUGCCAGACGUCGGGGGCAUGCCCUUCGGUGUCACACCUAACGGAUUAAGCAUUCCGCCUGGGGAGUACGGUCGCAAGAUUAAAACUCAAAUGAAUUGACGGGGGCCCGCACAAGCGGUGGAGCAUGUUGUUUAAUUCGAUGCAACGCGAAGAACCUUACCACCCCUUGACAUACUUGGAAUUUUCCAGAGAUGGAUUAGUGCCUUCGGGAACCAAGAUACAGGUGCUGCAUGGCUGUCGUCAGCUCGUGUCGUGAGAUGUUGGGUUAAGUCCCGUAACGAGCGCAACCCUUGUCCUUAUUUGCCAGCGAGUAAUGUCGGGAACUCUAAGGAGACUGCCGAUGACAAACCGGAGGAAGGUGGGACGACGUCAAGUCAUCAUGGCCCUUACGGGUGGGCUACAAACGUGCUACAAUGGUCGGUACAAAGGGCUGCAAACCAGCAAUGGUGAGCGAAUCCCAAAAAACCAAUCGUAGUCCGGAUUGGGGUCUGCAACUCGACCCC